CGCACCUUGCGCCUUUUGGUAUUCCGAAAGGCACACCUGUUUGAGUGUCAUGAACCUCUCAACUCCAAUAUUUCUUAAUCGAGAUGUUGGUGCUUGGAUGUUGAGCGCUGCUGUUACCUGUGACAGCUCGCUUUAAAUGUAUUAGCCAACUCUGUACUACUCGGAUUGACUCGGCGUGAUAAGAUCUUCGUCGAGGACGCGUAAAGCGGCCGAAUUGUAUCGGGGUAGCUUCUAACCCGCCUUUGCGCACUUUAAUUUUAGACCUCAAAUCAGGUGGGACUACCCGCUGAACUUAA
RNAcentral lists this unclassified non-coding RNA (296 nucleotides) under Pucciniomycetes sp. Its description in RNAcentral is "partial contains 5.8S ribosomal RNA, internal transcribed spacer 2, and large subunit ribosomal RNA". Lineage: Eukaryota; Fungi; Basidiomycota; Pucciniomycetes. The record is from RNAcentral.